Molecule: ribosomal RNA, 460 nt
Filed under: uncultured bacterium
Lineage: Bacteria
Description: partial 16S ribosomal RNA
Rfam family: Bacterial small subunit ribosomal RNA
Source: RNAcentral
CCUACGUGUGACUGCAGUGAGGCAUAUUGGUCAAUGGACGAGAGUCUGAACCAGCCAAGUAGCGUGAAGGAUGACUGCCCUAUUGGUUGUCAACUUCUUUUAUAUGGGCAUAAAAUGUUCCACGUGUGGGAUUUUGUAUGUACCAUAUGAAUAAGGAUCGGCUAACUCCGUGCCAGCAGCCGCGGCAAUACGGAGGAUCCGAGCGUUAUCCGGAUUUAUUGGGUUUAAAGGGAGCGUAGGUGGAUUGUUAAGGCAGUUGUGAAAGUUUUCGGCUCAACCGUAAAAGUGCAGUUGAAAUGGGCAGGCGUGAGUACAGUAGAGGUGGGCGGAAUUCGUGGGGUAGCGGUGAAAUGCUUAGAUAUCACGAAGAACUCCGAUUGCGAAGGCAGCUCACUGGACUGCAACUGAAACUGAGGCUCGAAAGUGUGGGUAUCAAACAGGAUUAGAUACCCGAGGAGUC